GAAUUAGAAUGAUUUUUGUGAAUAUAAACUGUUUUAAAUAUUUAGUGAUUUUAAUGUUCGGAAUUUUUCCAAAAGUGUUUUUGAACAAAAUUUUCAUCCAAAAUCAACAAAAUAGAGUUUAUUAACAAUGAUUAACAGUGAUCAAACAUGAACAUAUAGAUUAUAGACUUGCAUUAUUCGAGAAAAGAAUAAGUUGAACUGAUUCAGUAUGACAAUUCCCGAGUUAUGAUAUAAUGUAGUAUGAUAGUUCGUUUGAUUAAUAAAUGAAAAUUGAAAAUUGAGAGAUUUAGUUGAGAGAAAAUUGAAUGGGAGAGGUAGAUUUUGAGGCAAUAAAUAGUAGAUGGAAUUAUGAGUUGUUGCAGUUAAUACACGCAAGGCAUGCAUUUGUUUUCUCAUCCACACUAAUAAUAAGUCCAUUUUGUAUCGGAGUUUGUUCCAUUUGUAAAGUAAAUUCUACCAGUGGGUAAAAAAGAAAAACAAAAGAAAAUAUUUGAAAACAAGUUGUCGUAAAGGGAAUAAAUGAGGCUUUGCAGGUUGUGGGAGUGAUGAGUGCGACAUCUCAAUCGACAGAAGGGAAAUAAGAGUAUGAUUUAUUAUGGUUAAAUAGACAGAAAGGAAAUAUGAUAUACUUAUAUUACAAAAUUAUGUCAAUUAGUUGUAUUUUUCGUAAUUUAAAGUAACAAAACAAAAAGAGAUGAACCUUAUAAUUUAAAUACAUCGUGGAACUUUUAGCGUAUCGUGGUUAAUUAGUAGGUCAAAAGGUUGAGCUUCUAUGUUAUUCUAACAUUAUGUUAUAUUUACAUGAGCCUAGGAUUCUGCAAUCCACUCCAUGGUGGAGUAGUAAAAGGACCCAUCAGUUGAACAUUGCCUCGCACGAACAUAAGUCAGAAAAUUGUUAAUUUUACAUAUUCUCAACAAAAUAAUACUAGUGCACUUCCAAUAAUCCAACACAAAUAUUUAUAUUUUUGUGACUAUUCUUUUUGUAAUUCUUGAUUUCUAAAUUUUCUAUAUAUAAAUGUUAUCAAACAAAGCAAUCUGAAUAUAUUUCAAAAUGUUUCGAAAAUCACAAGCAAACAAGCUCUCAUUAUUUAUCUUUCUCUAUUAAUUUCUACUAGCGUCCAAUUAUUUUGGUAUGUGUCGUAAUAUGGCCAAGACAUGAAAAAGUUUGGAGCUGGGAAGAAAAAUGCCAAGCUUGUACGUCCGACCAUUUAUCGCAGUAAACGAUUUAUAACGUCGAACGUGUGAUCACAAUAUAUCACUUGUUGUUAACUUUGCUAUGGAUGCUACCACUAUUAAUUAUGUUAGUUAUUAAACGUGGAUUCUCAUUGGCAAAUCAGUGUUUUGUAACAAAAUAACAUACGUACAGAUUUUUACAAUGUCAUGACUUUAAAUUUGAUUGUGACAUUUGAGCAUUUUUAUGAAAACUCAAAAAACAGCUAAACAACAUUUUUUUUUGCAAAAAGUUAUGGACCGAAGCCUAUAAUUUAUUUAAUCCAUAGAUAUGAAAUAAUCGUUAAAAAAUUUUUUUGCAGCUGCUUAAACUCGAACUUACGCUUCUAUAUAGCAUAAAACUUUACCAAUAGAGAUAGCAGCUCCAGGUUAAACUACCCUUUUUAUGUUUGAUUUCGUUAUUUCAUCAUGCGUAAUUUUGUCUAAAUUCUUGAUUUUGGUAUUUUAAGGUGAAGUUUAUUCUUUAACACAGCUUCUAUCCCAUUAAUAAAUAGAGUAUAGCUGGUAAUUAAUUGAACAUCAAAAUGGUUUUCAGAUUUUAUGAUAAAUAUAUAACGAGCUAUAUGAAGCUCCAUAUUAAAAUUAAGAAAACAAUGGUGCCGUUUAACUUGUGGUCCUGACAAAAAGUAUAGAAAAAUAAAAACAGAAUGGUAGGCAGUAGGCAUCAAAGACAAACCCGUUGAAUUUGCUAAAAAGAAACAAUCAGAAAAAAGUAAAAGAAAAAAACCUCAAACAAAAUCCCUAGAAGUUUAUCGGUUUUCUCGCUUAGAAUUUCAUCUUUGGAAAACUACCAGAGUGAUUUCCCUAAUUAGAUUUUAAUCCUCCUUGAGAAAACCCCCUUGAGUUUCUUCUAUUUUCAUUAUAUAUUUGUCAUUUAUCAUCUCUCUCCUUCACUUUUUUUUCUGUUCAUAAUAGUUGUUAGAUCUUAUGUCUUUUCGAAUCCGAAUCUUUAAGUUUCUCAUUUGAUUAAACCCAACAAGUUUCCAGUUUUCGAGACUAGUGUUAUUAAUCUUCUCCGUAGCUUUGUGAGAACAGAAUCUAGGGUUUCGGUCUUUUUCUUAUAAAAAUAUUCCUUUCUUCAUACUAGUAUUCUUUUUUGGGUUUAAAUGUUAAAUUCUUGGUUCAUAAAUUUCCUGCUAUACAACAACUGUACAUCACCAUCAUUAAGAGAAACCCGUCUGCCUCUUUUCAUAACCUCAUAAAUAUUCCAACCAUUCCAUGUCGCGCUUCUCUCAUCUGUUGUUCUCUAAAGGAACGAGUGAAAAGAGUUUGGAUCUUUAAGCUUUUUGAUCAUGUGGGUUUGACAAAAGAGUUUCUUACAGAGAUCUUUGGCAUUCUGUCCACCUCCCCUACCUAUGUACAUGUGUAUUAUCUGCGUUGUGUUUUGUGAGGGGGAGGUGGGCAUACUGCCAACAGAGAUCUGUUAGGGUUUCUUUGUAAAACCCCUCAUGAUUUGUUGUAUUCAAGAUAAGGCAUUGGCUCGUGUUGAUCAAGAUGACUUGAUGAACACUAAGAUCUAGGUUUGAAGAAAAAUGGUAUUAUCUCGGAUCUACUCAACCUUAUUAUAUAUGUGUGAUCACUACAUCUUAUUUUAUUAAGUCAAUUUCACUUGUCAAUUCCAAUCUCCUUUGAUUUGGUUGAUCUCGACGAAGUUCUUAGCUUUCAUUGGCUGAGACACUAAUCUGUUGGUGGGUUUAUAAGACUGGAUACGUCCAUCACAUUUGCUUGUAAAGAAACUCACAUCGUUUUAAUUUCGACGUCGUUGACCAGUGUGAGGUUGAUGUGGGAGUAGUGGUGGCGUCUGAGAAGUUUACAUCAUCUAGGAAAGGUAAGCUAUUCAUGAAAAAUGAGGACCCAUUAUUCAAAAAGGUACAUGUAGAUUGAAAUCAUAGGGGAAUGUGGUAAUGGAAAAGGAGAAUUUACUCUACCUUUUUAUGUUUUUGAAGCCCACACAAUGUUAUCAUGUUGUUUUUUUUUCUUGAAGUUGGAAUCUAUGUGUAUAGAAAGUGGUUUCUUGUGUUUGUGUAAAAUCAAAAAUGUCAUGUUUUAUGUGACGAUAGUGUUCAAUCUGAUAAAUGGACGGAGAAAUCUCAUGUUCAAUUUUAAAA
Long non-coding RNA from Brassica napus (rape), 3338 nucleotides. RefSeq lists it as uncharacterized. Lineage: Eukaryota; Viridiplantae; Streptophyta; Magnoliopsida; Brassicales; Brassicaceae. The transcript is spliced from 2 exons. The record is from RefSeq and is a predicted model, not a curated record.